UGCUACUAAGAAGAAAAUGAACCCUAUCUCAGCUGACACCAGAAUAUAGGGCUGAAGCUGAAGAAGGCAGGGUAGGGGUGAAAGAGCUGUUGAUAUUCCCCCUCCUGUUGAUGAAAUCAGCAGACACAGUAGCAUCUCCAGUCUCCCAGAUGUUCUUCUAACGUGGUUCAGAGCUCAGUUACUCUCUGCAUUUUGUAUUUAUGACUAUAGCCAUAAUUUGUACCAAACAUAGAAGAAGAAGUAGUCAUUAGACAGAAAGGACUUGAAGGGACACCACUGCCUAUUGCACCAUGCUAGCAUGUAGAGGAAUUAUAGAGGAAUGAAGGCAGGUUAAUUAACAUUGAUAAUAUACAGCUGUGGGCUGGCUUCAGGGGCAGUGGGUUGGCUUAUGUGGAUAAUGUGUAGCUGUGGCUUGUUCCUGCUAAGUAGUUAAAUAGCUCUAAGGGGUAUGGAGGAGGAGUACUGUGUGAAGAGGAGGACUGAAAGAAGAGAAAGAUCUAGAUGAAGAGAGACCUGGAGAAAACAGAAGGAGGAGAGAGAGUGCACCCCAGAUGUAGGAGAGACAAGGAGAGGCCCUGGGAGAAGGGGGCCUAGAUGAGAAGAGGCUGGCUGGACAAAGAGCCUGGAGAAGGAAGACUCUGGAUGCAGAAGUAAGAAGCAGGGUGGACUGGCCUGUAAAGGAUGAAGAAACAGCAUUGACAAUAGAUGAACUUUUGAAAUCUUGUGGGGGAUUGGUGGCUGUGCUGGGACAAGGUGCGGAAACUACUUAUUGAAGCCUUGUUGUAGCUGGCUAGUUUGGAUAGUGCUGUGACACUAUCAUAGAAGGCUUCAUCCCAAUUCCCUUUCAGCUAUCACCUAAGUUUUCUCCUGAAAAUGAUGAGAUUGUGUUGCUCGCUGCUGCUUCAGGCACUGGAUUUCCAUACCCUGCUCUGACAACUGGAACAUUUUUCCAAAGUCUAGCCUUUGUGGAGAGUCUAAACUUAUGCAUUCUUGGCCCAAAAUGUCUGGUUUAAUAACAUUUCCCCUUGCUGGUAGUCACCUUCUUGAUGUGGUUAUGAAGAGACUCAUGUCCCUCUUUCUGAUUCCGUAGAUUCAACAUACCAAGUCUACCUGUGUGUGAUGCCUCCUUUUUCUGUAUCUGAAAAUUUUUUUCAUGUGUGUGAAGGACAAGCCAUAUAUAGGAUGGACAAGAGGAAGUGUCACCAGAGAUUUGUACAGCACUCUUAAUGUUUGUGCUUGUCUCCAAGAAAUACCACUCUUGAGACAUAUGAGAACUGUAGGUGUGGUGGUUUUGGUUUCAGACAAACAGUACAGGCCAAGAAUCAUUAAUAAAAUCAAGUCAUGAGGGUGCUUAAUUUUUUACUCCUUUAAUGAGAACAGCAGACUGAAGCAAUGGAGAGUGAUGGCAGGAGGUGAGCUAUGUCUGCACACUGUGAGCAGAGCAUUCUGUGUCUGGUAAACUAGCUGCUACAGAUGGGGUGGAGGGCAUGAAGCGGGUGCUUCAGUUUGUGGAAAAAAACCCCCACAUUAUCUUGCUAUGUGGGGACUAGGAUUUCAGAAACAAGCAAAAAAUCUUCUUUACAGUAGAGUGCAGAUGAGGAGUUUGAGGUGGGGCAGGAGGACACAGGUGGCAAAGUGGACAAAUUCCCCUCUAUGCUUCAUGAACAUUUGUCCCUGCUCAGCAAGUUGGGCAACUAUGUGAUGCUGGCAGGAUGGGUAGGACCCGUGAGGUCCAAGAGAAGGAGGGGAAGCCUCAUAUCUGUCUAUCUCAUGUGAUGGGCACAACACUGAGAAGACACUUAGAGGUAUCAAGCCCACACCUCUCUCUCUGCACCUCCCAGAUUACCCAUGGCAGGCUGCUGUGAUGAGGUUCUUGAGGAACAUGAUGGGAAAAUGGAUCUUCAGACCUCUGCCAGGGAGCUGUGAGAAGUGUGGUGGGAAGUGGUGGUCUAGGGAAAGGCUAUGUAUUUUCAUACACAUUGUUGAGGUGGAGGCACAGGUUCUUAAAUGGGCUGUUGCCUUUACAGUUGGUGCCUUCACCAACCCCGUCCGUGGGGAUGAGGGAUACAGAAUGUGAAAUCAUUUGUACCUUGUUGUGUUCUGUACUGUGUUGCCUCCUUCUUUUGCUUCAGGUAGGGGAUGAAGAAGAAAUUGUUUGAGAUGAGGAAGUCCUCUUGGAACUCCUCUCUCUUCUGCUUUCCUCUUGAACACGGGAGAAGAAUUUUUGAGGAGACAGUCUUUUAUACUAAAACAUGCCGUCUGUGUGUGUGCUGGAAAAUUAUUUUAAGCAAGCCAUAGGGAACAUGGAGCAGAUAUCUGAUUUCUGAUCUGUGAGCUAGGACAUAGAGGCAACCCCACAAUCCAAACCAUGCUGUGUACCUGCUCAGGGUUUCAGAUGGGAACCCCAUCCACAUGCAUCCUUGGCUUCAUUUCUUAAAACAGAGCAUGGCCAAAAAGAAGGAAAGAAAGAGGCAGGCCGUGAUCACAAAACAUGGCCAACCAGAAGUAAACCAUCAAGGUGAAGUUUGUUUGCAAAAAUAAUAGGAUUUAAUGGAGAAGGAAAAUGUGCUUUUCUACGCCUUGCAUAAUUCUCAUUCUGCCUCUCCCAGGCAGCAUGAAGGGCAGGAGUGUUUGUUUUGGGGAGUGAGGCUGCUGAGCAAACCCUGCUGGGGUCAGCUCACACUGUCACAUGUUGUUCAAUGCUCUUUGGAACCAAACAACGUCAGAGAGAGGGAAGGAAAGGGGGAACAGCUCCAUCCUCCUCGCCUCCCUCCCCCAGCUCCAGCUAGACAGCCACAGAAAUGCUUGUCCCAGGUCCAGGCUUCCCCCAUGGAAAGGUAAAUACAACCCGGGGUGUUAACAGCCCCCUUGCAGACUGGUUGGCACUGAGGAAAGUGAUCCUGGGCAAGUUGCCCCACUUCUUCCUUCUCCAUGAGCACCAGGAGAAGACACUGGCAAACAGUCACCAGUGUGCAGAGGAAGCAGUAAGGCUGUUACUGAUGGGAAGCUGUUAUCUUGGGAUGUCUGUCUGAGUUAAUUUUUGACCUGGUAGCAAAGGAGUGGGUUGGGGAUUUUGUAUGGGACCUGUCCUUGUGAAGAAAUGGCACUUCAUCACCCAGAAAGUGUAACUUCAUCUCUUUGGCUCACUGUUCCUUCAGGGGGCUUGUUGGUUUGUUCUUUGCCUUUUAGAACAUUGCCACUUGAGGUCUGUUUUUUGGGAUGUGAGGCGCAGAAUGCAAAUGUCUUUGGACCUGAAGGAGAGUUCCUGCUUUUAAUUACUACUGAUGGGCAAUUAAUCUGCCAGAACAGAAGUGGAGAAUUAAUGUAGUGAAAAUCUCCUCUGGUCUACUAGUAAAUCAACAAGUGGUAGCAAGCAGUGGUGUUGAGUUCCUCUGACCCAAAGUUAGGUGCAAGGAAAAAAUAAGAGAGAAGCACUGAUGUUUACAGACACAGUGAAGAUGACAAUGAGCAGAAGGUACAUGAUGUUUGUUCAUUCCCCUUGGUGGAGCACUUAAUAGAGGUUGCUCAUGCUAGUCACUGAAGUGCCUGUCCAAAAUUAGUCAUGGGACCAUCUCCAACCUGGGUCCCUGCCAUGGAAGAGAGCUGUGACGGGAAGAAGUUGCUGAUCAGCAAAUUUUUGGAAAGUCCGUAUCCUGAUCACCUUUUUCCAAACUGAUCCGUUUUUCAGGUGGUCAAGGAGGAGGUUUUCCGAGGUCCUGCGUUAGCCUUGGAAAGUGUACAAGAAUCAAGAGAUCUCUUUUCUCCCAUAGCUUGAGCUGUGUGAUCAAAAAGUUUCAUUCCAGCUGCCUUCAUGCCAAUCCUCCAAGGGAAAAAACAGUGGUGUGCUAGGAGGGAAGUUCUCAAUAGACAUGGGAUGAGGAACUUCUUGGGAAGAACUCUCAGUGGUCAGUGCAUGAGAGAGGCCAGGAAACUGGUAUGGGAGGAGCAGGUCCCUGUAGGGCCAUUGACACAGCAGAGCUCUGUGAGCCAUCCCAUGUGAUGCUGACCCCAGGCUCCACUCAGUGGAUGUGGGGAGUGCAGAGGUGAGAUAGAGACUCAAGGGACUCCAUAGAAGUUAGGCUCAUUGUAGCAUUUUAGCCCAAAGCUACCUGCCCACGUAUGGCAGUGAGGGUGGCUGCUGGGGUGAAACAAAAGACCUUGAUGGACACGAGGUGCAGCAUCUAGAGACAGAAGUGGAGACAACCCUAUUUGGAGUAACACUUCUAUGACUUACACACUAGAGAUGCGCUUUGUUGGAACAAGAGGGAAAUCUGAGGCUCAGCCUGUUCUGAAUUUAUCCAAACUUAAUACCAGAGACUUUGUUUCAGGAGAAACUUGAGGGGUGGAGAACAGAUCAUUCACGUCUGUAGUAGUAAGUUGAACAGGACCAGGUUAUGAGCAGUGAGAUGGGCUUGCUAAAUGGUUAGCGUGUUGUUUUGAUGUUAUCAGGGUCUUUGGUGUAGCUUAGGCUACCGGGUGGGUCAGGUAGCCAUCUCCUGAACAAACCUUGGGCAUAGUUCAGGGGUUAGCAUAGACCAGGAACAGUUCUUGGUACACAUCAUGAGCGCAACAGUCUUAUUUUGGAGACCAAGAAAUCUGGUGAGUGGCCUUCUAUUUCAUCAGAAAACUGUUCCAGGACUCACUGGUUCCUGACAUAAAUGUAAGACUAUUAAAGGUGGCUUCAGACAUGGGUUACUGCUAUAUCCUCAGGCCUUUUCUGUCUAAGAAGCCACAGAAGUAGGUGGAACAUGUGGCCCUUUUGUAUCAUUUAACACUUACAGUGUAUAGUCCUGUUGUAGAUGUUGAUUCAGAAAAAAACUGAUCUAGCCUCAUUUAACAAAUCCAAAUCUCCAGAAUUUUUUUCCUUGCACAAAAAAAGCUUAUAAGAACCUUGUGGGGGAUAUUUCCAAAAGAACAGGGAAGAUCUAGACAGGAUCAUUUUCACGCUUUUAAUGGGGAAAUUGAGAUAGGAAGAAGGAAAUAAAAUGCUGCAGAGUCUCUAAAUUAAUUGUGCAUCUGUAACUGUUGGAGGAAACAAUAAAAAUAGCCUUGGUUUUGAACUUUUAGCGCUAUGGAGCUCAUGACUGCAUCUGUACUACAGGACAUUUAAUUUACUUUUAUGGCUGCUACUGAACACAGAUCUGAUGUUUUCAAAAACAGUCUAUAUAUCACCCCACAUCUUGUUUCUAGGUAGAGAUAGUUCAUACAUAUAUAUAUGUGUGUAUAAAGUUUAUUGAUCACCAUUUUGUCAUCCAAUCACUUGCUAUCAAGAGCUGCUUGUACCGUUCUUCACACUCAGUUUUCAGUCUUGAUUACUUCAGUACCAUCAGCAACACUGGUUGCUGUUUUAGUUAUUCUGUUUUCUAAAUCACUUGGGAAUAUGUGAGACUGCACAGACUUACUUGUUUAAAAAGAUUGUAUGACUCAAUGAGCCUUGAGUCAAAACCACAGAGAAAAUUACUGUUAGUAACAAUAAAAGAUCACAAUUACUGGUUUAAGACAUUUAUUUCUCUAUGUGAAUAAAAUAAUAAUACAUAUAUUGCUUCACAUCCUCCAAGAGCUGUAUGAACCUGAACGGAUUGAAGAUCCAAACAUCUCCGUGAGGUAGGCUGGAAUAGGUGGCUGAGGUGCCAAAGUGGCUUGUGUAUUUGAAGUGAAAAAGGGAGUGACUUCAGCGAGGAAAAACCUGGGUCUCCAGAAGCAGUGUGCUAAAGGGACAUGCCCUCUGGAAGCUUCUUGUAAUGCUUAUUUGUAGGAGGGUUUAGACAGAGGAGAAAUCCAUCAAAAUCACCUACUCAAGG
This is a long non-coding RNA of Falco peregrinus (peregrine falcon), 5801 nucleotides long. RefSeq lists it as uncharacterized. NCBI's taxonomy places the organism in Eukaryota, Metazoa, Chordata, Aves, Falconiformes, Falconidae. The transcript is spliced from 2 exons. The record is from RefSeq and is a predicted model, not a curated record.